GGAGGGGUAAUUUAAUUGGAAAAAUAGCGGCCUGCUAGGUCGAAAAUGGCGGUUCGAGUCCUGCCUCCCUUCU
RNAcentral lists this transfer RNA (73 nucleotides) under Niastella koreensis GR20-10. RNAcentral describes it as "tRNA-Ser (GCT) (tRNA-Ser-GCT-2-1)". It matches the Rfam family "tRNA". From Rfam's summary of the family: Transfer RNA (tRNA) molecules are approximately 80 nucleotides in length. Their secondary structure includes four short double-helical elements and three loops (D, anti-codon, and T loops). Further hydrogen bonds mediate the characteristic L-shaped molecular structure. tRNAs have two regions of fundamental functional importance: the anti-codon, which is responsible for specific mRNA codon recognition, and the 3' end, to which the tRNAs corresponding amino acid is attached (by aminoacyl-tRNA synthetases). tRNAs cope with the degeneracy of the genetic code in two manners: having more than one tRNA (with a specific anti-codon) for a particular amino acid; and 'wobble' base-pairing, i.e. permitting non-standard base-pairing at the 3rd anti-codon position. The record is from RNAcentral. Lineage: Bacteria; Pseudomonadati; Bacteroidota; Chitinophagia; Chitinophagales; Chitinophagaceae.